RNAcentral lists this long non-coding RNA (512 nucleotides) under Heterocephalus glaber (naked mole-rat). RNAcentral's name for it is "lncRNA (ENSHGLG00000039986.1)". The record is from RNAcentral. Lineage: Eukaryota; Metazoa; Chordata; Mammalia; Rodentia; Bathyergidae.
CUUCUCUGAGGAAAGUAUCAUCUCAGUUGGGAAAUCUUCAGGAAAGGAACAUGCUGGAGCGAGAGACUAGAUUGAGAAUCAUGGACCUGUGCAACCUCCAGCCAGGUGCUUGACAGUAUCUAUCUGUGAAUUUGAAGCUGCAGCUUGAAGUGUAAAAAAAUUCAAACUUCAAAGUAUUUGAGUAGCUUUCUCGAUGCCCUCUACACUGAGAAUCCAUGGUGGUGCUACUAGCAAGAACCUCCCUGUAUUCCUGGCAAAGAUUAAGAACCAACAGGAUGAUAGCAGGAGAGAAGUGCUGCAGGAUGCUAGAUCUGAGCCAGAUGUCUAAGCUAACAGAUUAUCAAUAUCUUGGGAUUGAACUUGGGUCCUUGUGCUUGCGAGACAGAGGGUGGAACCACUGAGCUAAAUCCCCGGCCCAGCAUUGGUCCUUAUAACAAGCAGGCACAGAAGACGGCAGUAAGUUACAUUACCAAGAAACAGGCUGACCUCACAUCUAAACUGUCCUAUCAAAA